GACGAACGCUGGCGGCGUGCUUAACACAUGCAAGUCGAACGGAAAGGCCCUGCUUUUGUGUGUUGCUCGAUUGGCGAACGGGUGAGUAACACGUGAGUAACCUGCCCUUGACUUUGGGAGAACUUCAGGAAACUGGGGCGAAUAUCGGAUAGGAGCUCCUGCUGCAUGGGGUGGGUAGGAAAGUUUCGGCGGUUGGGGAUGGACUCGCGGCGUAUCAGCUUGUUGGUGGGGUAGUGGCUUACCAAGGCUUUGACGGGUAGCAGGCCUGAGAGGGUGACAGGCCACAUUGGGACUGAGGUGAGGCCCAGACUCGUAAGGGAGGCAGAAGUGGGGAAUAUUGCACAAUGGGCGGAAGCUUGAUGAAGCAACGCCGCGUGCGGGAUGACUGCCUUCGGGUUGAAGACCGUUUUCGUCUGUGACGAAGCGUGAGUGACGGUAAUGGGUACAGAAGGCCCGGCUAACUAAGUG
RNAcentral lists this ribosomal RNA (468 nucleotides) under uncultured bacterium. RNAcentral describes it as "partial 16S ribosomal RNA". It matches the Rfam family "Bacterial small subunit ribosomal RNA", at positions 28 to 507 of the family's 1533-position model. The record is from RNAcentral.